This is a long non-coding RNA of Anas platyrhynchos (mallard), 742 nucleotides long. RefSeq lists it as uncharacterized. The record is from RefSeq and is a predicted model, not a curated record. Lineage: Eukaryota; Metazoa; Chordata; Aves; Anseriformes; Anatidae.
CUUGAAUCUACCACCCAGUUUGCUGUGUGAUACAUGAAAACUGGGGUUCCAGGAGGAGUAUGUUUGAAUGGAAUCAGGUUAGAGAUGAGUCUGAAAAGAAGAGUUGCCUGGGAACGAAAGCUGUUGCUGGAAAAUGUUUAUGAGGACGUGUUAACGCAUUGAAUAGGUACAACUGGAAAAGCUGAAAUAAAGAAAAUGAGUAUUGUUAUUGUUCCAUCAUCCAGUUUAACUUCUUGUCCCCAGAUUUCUUGUAAAACCUGGAUAAUAUUAAAGAAUUCACUAAAACAGCAGGAAGGAGAAUUGCUCACUGAUAAUGAGCACUCCCAUGUUACACUUCCUGGGCAAGGCACACACCUGGACAAAGGCAACCACCUUCAUGGAAAUGGUCAGAGAAGUGAAUAAAGAUGCCUACUGGCAGCGACAGUAAGAAAGAUUUCUCCCUGAAUAAAACAAAAGUGGAGGUGAGGACAUUAACUGAGCAAGAAACCGAGCUAAGCGGAUCUCCACAAGCUUCACAUCCGAAGCAGAGGCCAGCAGUGCUGCUGCACUAUGUGGGCAGGAAGGAGACAGGGAGACGUUUCCCGGCAUGGAGAGAACAAUUCCAGUCCUUUCUCAGGCAAUUUUUUAAGUAUUAGCAACCAUGGUAACUGAAUAGAAAUGUAACCCGUGUGCUGUGCAUUCAGCUUGACACAAUUAUCUCUGCAGAACAGUCACGUUAAAAAUAAACAUGGCCUGCACCAGA